Molecule: long non-coding RNA, 789 nt
Organism: Homo sapiens (human)
Lineage: Eukaryota; Metazoa; Chordata; Mammalia; Primates; Hominidae
Source: Ensembl
CAAUUCCAAGAGUAUCAUCUGAGCCAGCCUGAACUUCCUCUGCUACUAUUAUUCAAAUAAGGAUUUGAAUAAGCAGAAUUUGCUUCAGUGAGGAAACUGCCUGGGGCAUCAGCCUAGGAGAGGUGUGGACCAUGAGAGUGGGCUGGGGGCGGCCCUCCCUCUCACUCAUAGGGGAGCAAACCAAACAGCUCAGGCUGGAAGUCCUGCAGGGAAUUCAGCACCGGGGUGGCCUUUCUCCUCAAGUCUCAGUUCAAGGUUCUGUCUAGAAUGAAGACCACUUGCAUCCCAGUUGCCAGGGUUGCCUCCACCUCAUUGAGAGCAUCUUCAAACAAGGCACCUCUCCAUAGGAGGACAGGGAGAGAACCUGUUGGCACAAGCUGGGAGGAUGUUGGGGUCUGGCUUGCUGUGCUGUACUUCGGGGUCAUCUCCCUGCAUAAUGUGAGAAAACAGGCUGAAGAACUCCUUGUGUCAGCUCACCUUCAUCUCCAAUGAGGCAGACCCUGAGCUGGUGGCCAUGGCAAAGGGAAUGCUGUGUUUCUGCAGGUGGACGAUGAGAUUCUCAGCCCCUGGCAUGAGCACAGCUGUAGGGAACACUUCCUUUAACUUCGUUUGGCUUUCUUCCACCAGUUCCUCCUUGGACAUCAGGAGCUGCAAGAUGUCUAUUAUAAUCUGUGCUGCCUCUAAUGCCUACUUACCCAUUACCAGGGACUUUACAACCCAGCUGUAUUUCUUUUCAUAGAAAUCACAUAUUUCUUGAAACAGCACUGAAUAUAGCCAUUCAGUAUCCAG